GAUAUGAGGCGCGCUACCAUGCAAGUCGAGCGCACCCUUCGGGGCGAGCGGCGGACGGGUUAGUAACGCGUGGGAACGUACCCUUUUCUACGGAAUAGCCUCGGGAAACUGAGAGUAAUACCGUAUAAGCCCUUCGGGGGAAAGAUUUAUCGGUAAAGGAUCGGCCCGCGUUAGAUUAGAUAGUUGGUGGGGUAAUGGCCUACCAAGUCUACGAUCUAUAGCUGGUUUUAGAGGAUGAUCAGCAACACUGGGACUGAGACACGGCCCAGACUCCUACGGGAGGCAGCAGUGGGGAAUCUUAGACAAUGGGCGCAAGCCUGAUCUAGCCAUGCCGCGUGUGUGAUGAAGGCCUUAGGGUCGUAAAGCACUUUCGCCAGGGAUGAUAAUGACAGUACCUGGUAAAGAAACCCCGGCUAACUCCGUGCCAGCAGCCGCGGUAAUACGGAGGGGGUUAGCGUUGUUCGGAAUUACUGGGCGUAAAGCGUACGUAGGCGGAUCAGAAAGUAGGGGGUGAAAUCCCGAGGCUCAACCUCGGAACUGCCUCCUAAACUCCUGGUCUUGAGUUCGAGAGAGGUGAGUGGAAUUCCAAGUGUAGAGGUGAAAUUCGUAG
This 610-nucleotide ribosomal RNA is filed under the name Sulfitobacter sp. RNAcentral's name for it is "bacterial SSU rRNA". It matches the Rfam family "Bacterial small subunit ribosomal RNA", at positions 35 to 693 of the family's 1533-position model. The record is from RNAcentral. Lineage: Bacteria; Pseudomonadati; Pseudomonadota; Alphaproteobacteria; Rhodobacterales; Roseobacteraceae.